CAUAGCUUUGAAGUGAAAUACUUAUAUUAUGGUCAAGUUUAUCUAUGAAAUGAAUUCUAAUGGAACGUUUAUGAUGUUAAUAUCAUUCUUUAAUGCAGGACUUGAUUGUUGUCAUGUAAAGUCCUCAAGGACUUUAGUAACUAAUAUUUGGUACAUGAACCAACCGAAGUUUUUUCCACCGUAAGAUUUCAAUGCAUCUGAGUGUGUUAGUUAUUUUUCUUGAUAAAUAUCACAAAUACCGAAUACUUUAUGGAUUUAAUUUAUGGAUUUGAUGUUGGCUAUUUUCAGGACAGAUAAUAGUCAAAGAAGGAACCAAUUAUUGUGGAUCUUAGCAUAGCCAUAGCAAUAAUUUGGAUCUUGCCAAGCACUCGAUCAUCCCUUCCUUAAACACAUUUUAAUGAUAUUGUAAUUUGUCAGCAAUGCUAUUAUGAAUUUAUGAUGUAGGGUU
Molecule: long non-coding RNA, 448 nt
Filed under: Trifolium pratense (red clover)
Lineage: Eukaryota; Viridiplantae; Streptophyta; Magnoliopsida; Fabales; Fabaceae
Description: long non-coding RNA (TPRA_LNC011198)
Source: RNAcentral